Molecule: long non-coding RNA, 338 nt
Filed under: Coffea arabica (coffee)
Lineage: Eukaryota; Viridiplantae; Streptophyta; Magnoliopsida; Gentianales; Rubiaceae
Description: long non-coding RNA (CARA_LNC002269)
Source: RNAcentral
GAGCAACGUAGGAUGUGAAAAGUCCAAAAUACCCUUACUGUUUUAAAUAUUUCCCAGCAGUCCGUUUCAUCAGUUAAGUCCAGUUUAUCACGUUUUUUUUCUAGGAGCCGUACUGAUUUAGCUCUGAGCCAAAACAUGAAAGUUGUAGUGUUCUGAAGUAGCUUUAAAAUGCCUCAAAGAACACCUGAAUUGGACUUUUGUACACUGAGUUAUGACCAUUACAGUGUUCUGCGUUUAAACAGCCGACGAAUUGGUUUCUGGUUUAGUAAUUCGAGAAUUUGACUGAGUUACAUUAGGAACUGGACUAAGUGACCUUCAUGAAUGUUGUAGCUCUGUGU